GAUGAACGCUGGCGGCGUGCUUAACACAUGCAAGUCGAACGGAAAGGCCCAAGCUUGCUUGGGUACUCGAGUGGCGAACGGGUGAGUAACACGUGGGUGAUCUGCCCUGCACUUCGGGAUAAGCCUGGGAAACUGGGUCUCAUACCGGAUAGGACCACGUCUUGGAUGUUGUGGUGGAAAGUUUUUUCGGUGUGGGAUGAGCUCGCGGCCUAUCAGCUUGUUGGUGGGGUAAUGGCCUACCAAGGCGUCGACGGGUAGCCGGCCUGAGAGGGUGUACGGCCACAUUGGGACUGAGAUACGGCCCAGGCUCCUACGGGAGGCAGCAGUGGGGAAUAUUGCACAAUGGGCGCAAGCCUGAUGCAGCGACGCCGCGUGGGGGAUGACGGCCUUCGGGUUGUAAACUCCUUUCGCUAGGGACGAAGCGUUUUUGUGACGGUACCUGGAGAAGAAGCACCGGCUAACUACGUG
Molecule: ribosomal RNA, 468 nt
Filed under: uncultured bacterium
Lineage: Bacteria
Description: partial 16S ribosomal RNA
Rfam family: Bacterial small subunit ribosomal RNA
Source: RNAcentral